UCGAACUUUGAAGGCUAGGGUCAGAAGGUUUAGGUUUUUGGUUAAGGUUUUGGUGCAAGUUUUGUAUCAUUUGGGGUUUUUAUGAAGACGUUAUAGGCGCUCAAAGUUAAGGUGUCAGUUUUGGACCUACUGUCACUCUUUUGGGCAUAACGCACGUGUACGGAUGGCAAUUGAGGAUCGGCGACUACGACUGGAAAGAGCACUUUUGCGGCUGUACUUUUCACAUACAGCUUACUGGAUUCCAAGUUGGGAUGACGGAGUUAUUGGAUUUUGAAGACAGCACAUGCAAUCUAAGGGUAGUAGGUAAACCGAUUUACUAGUGUUUGUCUCUUGAGCUAUAUCUUGAGCAAUUUUGUGAGGUUUUGGCUCAAAUUUCAAGGAAUGUAUAAUUUCAUGUUAGUAAACUUUGUGCAUAAGUUUUAUGACAUUUGGAGUUCGGAUUUUUGAGAUAU
Molecule: long non-coding RNA, 452 nt
Filed under: Physcomitrium patens
Lineage: Eukaryota; Viridiplantae; Streptophyta; Bryopsida; Funariales; Funariaceae
Description: long non-coding RNA (PPAT_LNC015026)
Source: RNAcentral